GCAGGAUCCCAUAGCUAGUUUCUGCUUCUUGCAUAUUUUGAGGGGUAGUUUACCAGCACAAAGUCUACUGUUUCCAAGAUUUUCUUGGAAACAGUACCUGCCAACCCUCCUGGAGGAGAAGCUCUGUUCAAACAACAGAACUUUCAGAUGGGAGCAGUGAUCCUGUCUGCAGAGCUACUCAGUGGGUGUGGGGCUCUGUGUUGACACAGGAUGAUCAUUCUCGUGUGCUCUGUUUUGGGGAAGGUCAGGCUGUAGUCAGCUUCUGCAGGGAGCAAACAGUUCUUGGCAGUUUCCUGCCAUAAGAAAAGAGACUGAAAAGUCAUCUUCAUUUAUCUUCUUCUUUGUUAAUUAGGUAGACAAUGCUGAAGGCCACAAAAUCUUAAGUACCACCCAUCAGUUUGGAAAAUGGCCUUUGUUAUGUGUUUUCCUUUUUUAGCUUAACAGGUGGAUAUUACUUAAGACAUGACUUUACAUUGAGGGUUUAGAGUGCAGUAAGGCUUUUGUUAAUUCUGUUUCCUUACAACUGUAGCACUUGCAUUUUCUUCAAAUAACCUGAUUUUCUAGAUGCCUUGAUUUUCAUGUCUUUGUUCAUGGAGGGCUGUUGGUCAGGAUUUUGUUUGUUUGUUUGUUUUAAUUGGCUUGGAAGGGUGUUUCAGCUGGGAAUGUAACCUGGGUGAAGGUGUGGAAUGAUGUUCACUUCAGGAGCCCCAAUGCUACAGGGCCCUUUUAGCCUAGGUGUUGGUACAAGCAUUUGUGUGUUCCCUGCCUACUCUGCGCCACCUCCCCUUGCCUUCAGUCAGUUCCUCUCAAAAACCCUCAACUUGAUGUGGCCUUGUGCCUGCCUAAUUUCUGCUCUGGGUGGCAGUAAGUGUCUUUUGGCUGUCUCUGUCGGGAGGUGACACUUGUGCCUGGUCCUUAAGCUGAACAAGGCCAUUUAUUGGCUUGGAAGCCUUGAGUGCCCUGUAGGAUUAGAAACAUGGAUUGUUAUUUUCAUUCAGUGUCCUGUACCCUGGCACAAAGGGAGGUGUGGCUUGUCUGGUGUUCAUUUCUGCCCCGUAGUCCUUGUGAGGCUGCCCUUGGUUACCAUGUCCUGGCUGGAGGCUGCAAACCCAGGCACUUGUUUUGCUGUGAGGAGUCUGCCUGACCUCUGGACACACUAAUUGGACCAUCCUGGAGCCUGAUGCCAAGCUAUGCUGCUGGACAGUGCUCACGAGGCUGGAAAGUGGAGGAGAGACAAGAAGUUGCUGGGUGUUAUAAUAACCUGCUUUAAUGCUGGCUGGUGGUGAAGUCAGGAGCAGGAAGGUGCACAGAGAUUCUUGGAUGAAUGCAGCCCACCAUGUCUUCAAAAAAUAAAAUGGGUGAUCACCAGAAGAUGACAGAGCUCUCAACUAGUGUUCAGGCACUUGGGGAAAACAGGUUCUGUUUAAAGGCAUUGAGAAUAGACUACAAUGGAUUUUUCCAGCUAUGAGUUGAAUGUUGUUCAUGCAUGGAAGGAUUGUGGCUCUGUGAUCACCAUUCAGAAAGAUUAAGGCAUUCCUGGAUUGGGUUGGACUGGAGCUGGUGCUUUGCCUUCGCUGUGUUUCCCUGGGAGCCCAAGUUAUUUGCCCACAGUGAUAUAAGAAGUCUCUACAAGAAACAAGAUCUUUGUCUCCCAGUCUGUUUCAGACCAUCCUUUCUUACAUUCAGUCAGAGCUUUUCUAUUUGUUUUUAUUGCUUAGCAAACCUAUUAUGUAGUUGAUGAAGAGGAAUACAGGCCGUCAGGACAUUUGUUAAUAAAAAAUAAAUAUAACUCAGUUUUUAAAUAGGAGCAUGAAAUUUAGCCUGAUAGAGAAUAAAAAUGACGAGCAAAAUAUUUAUAAUAAUUCUCACACUUACAACAGCUUAUUUUUCUUUUGUUAAAAACGUCUUCCUAAACACUCAUUUUCUAAAGCUUUAGUCGAAUUAAACCAUGAUUAACAUGUCAAAAUCAAUCUUCUGUCUUUCUUCCUUUCAAGUCAAUCAAAAGCUUUCUAUUGUCAACAAGAGAAGGGGCAAAAAUGAAGGUCAACAUUGCAUCAGUCUUUUCAAAAAGCUCUGCAUUGUAAAUUAUUUAGGGGCUCAAAUCAAUCCAUU
Corvus hawaiiensis (hawaiian crow) is the source of this 2112-nucleotide long non-coding RNA. RefSeq lists it as uncharacterized. NCBI's taxonomy places the organism in Eukaryota, Metazoa, Chordata, Aves, Passeriformes, Corvidae. The transcript has 4 exons. The record is from RefSeq and is a predicted model, not a curated record.